GCCAUUUCAGCUUCACUGCUCUUCUGUAAAACUUUGUCUCUCCUCCUGGGAGUCAGCAAAAAGAGCAUUUAGCAACCAGGAAGAGCAGCAGGGAAGAUAGAGAGGUGAAGUAAAAGGCAGAAGGACCAGCCAAGCCAAGGAGCCAGAGCUUGUGUUCAGGCUGGUCAGAGGGCCAACUCUGAGCCAUAGAUGUUUUCAUCAUGAUCAACAGCUAGCACUUUACAAUGUUCAAAGAUAUAGCUGGGCAUGGAACAGCUGGAGAAACCAAGGGAGAAAUAGCUGGAGAAGCCAGGACUGCAUUGCCAUAUCCCUGCAGGAGAUUCCUAUUGCAUAAAAUAUUCCAGCGAUCAAGCAGCAAUUGCCAACCUGUCGGCCUGAGGGAGAGCUCUGGGAGUGAAAGGCAAGCUCUGCUCUCCUGGAAGCAAAGCUGCAGCAAACGAGAAGUGGCAGAAGCACACGAUGGGGGUUGGUAUGUGGGGCAGGCUCUCAGUCUCCCCAUCCUCUGUCCUUUGUCGUCAACAUGUUCAAGAGCCCAGCCUGCAAACAACAAAACUCCUAGCCAGCCAAAGUUUCCUUUCUAAGCUUUACAGCUUAGAAGUACACAAAGGUGUAUAAUUAUUUUGUGUGAGCAGACUGAUUUGUACAGGGGCCACUGGAUCAACUGGAAGUCUCAAAAUGCAGAGGUGAUAUCAGGAUAAAAACUAAUGUGAAAC
RNAcentral lists this long non-coding RNA (713 nucleotides) under Zonotrichia albicollis (white-throated sparrow). Its description in RNAcentral is "lncRNA (ENSZALG00000002277.1)". Lineage: Eukaryota; Metazoa; Chordata; Aves; Passeriformes; Passerellidae. The record is from RNAcentral.